GCCCUUAUAGCUCAGUGGUAGAGCGCAUCACUCGUAUAAUGAUGAGGUCCCUUGUUCGAACCAGGGUGGGGGCA
RNAcentral lists this transfer RNA (74 nucleotides) under Rhizoctonia solani AG-1 IB. RNAcentral's name for it is "tRNA-Thr". It matches the Rfam family "tRNA". Rfam says of the family: Transfer RNA (tRNA) molecules are approximately 80 nucleotides in length. Their secondary structure includes four short double-helical elements and three loops (D, anti-codon, and T loops). Lineage: Eukaryota; Fungi; Basidiomycota; Agaricomycetes; Cantharellales; Ceratobasidiaceae. The record is from RNAcentral.